AGUGAACGCUGGCGGUAGGCCUAACACAUGCAAGUCGAACGGCAGCACAGUAAGAUCUUGCUCUUACGGGUGGCGAGUGGCGGACGGGUGAGGAAUACAUCGGAAUCUACUUUUUCGUGGGGGAUAACGUAGGGAAACUUACUCUAAUACCGCAUACGACCUACCGGUGAAAGCAGGGGAUCUUCGGACCUUUCGCGAUUGAACGAGCCGAUGUCGGAUUAGCUAGUUGGCGGGUUAAAGGCCCACCAAGGCGACGAUACGUAGCUGGUGUGAGUGGAUGGUAAGCCACACUGGAACUGAGACACGGACCAGGGUCCUGCGGGAGGCAGCAGUGGGGAAUAUUGGACAAUGGGCGCGAGCAUGAUACAGCCAUACCGCGUGGGUGAAGAAGGCCUUCCGGUUGUAAAGCCGUUUUGUUGGGAGAGAAAAGCAGCAGGUUAAGACCCAGCUGUUCUGACGGUACCCAAAGAAUAAGCACCGGCUAACUUCGUG
This 492-nucleotide ribosomal RNA is filed under the name uncultured bacterium. Its description in RNAcentral is "partial 16S ribosomal RNA". It matches the Rfam family "Bacterial small subunit ribosomal RNA", at positions 29 to 507 of the family's 1533-position model. The record is from RNAcentral.